UACGGAGGGUGCAAGCGUUAUCCGGAUUUAUUGGGUUUAAAGGGUCCGUAGGUGGACCGUUAAGUCAGUGGUGAAAGCCCACAGCUCAACUGUGGAAAUGCCAUUGAUACUGGCGGUCUUGAGUACAAGUGAGGUUGGCGGAAUGUGUGGUGUAGCGGUGAAAUGCUUAGAUAUCACACAGAACACCGAUUGCGAAGGCAGCUGGCCAACUUGUAACUGACACUGAGGGACGAAAGUGUGGGGAUCAAACAGGAUUAGAUACCCUGGUAGUCCACACCGUAAACGAUGAUUACUAGAUUUUGGUCGUAAGAUCAGAGUCCAAGCGAAAGUGUUUAGUAAUCCACCUGGGGAGUACGUCCGCAAGGAUGAAACUCAAAGGAAUUGACGGGGGCCCGCACAAGCGGUGGAGCAUGUGGUUUAAUUCGAUGAUACGCGAGGAACCUUACCUGGGCUUGAAAGUUAGUGACCGAUCCUGAAAGGGAUUCUCCCGCAAGGGCACAAAACUAGGUGCUGCAUGGCUGUCGUCAGCUCGUGCCGUGAGGUGUCGGAUUAAGUUCCAUAACGAGCGCAACCCCUAUCUUUAGUUGCCAGCGAGUAAUGUCGGGGACUCUAGAGAAACUGCCCGCGUAAGCGGUGAGGAAGGUGGGGAUGACGUCAAGUCAUCACGGCCCUUACGUCCAGGGCGACACACGUGCUACAAUGGUAGGGACAAUGAGUUGCAAGCUAGCAAUAGUGAGCUAAUCUAUAAACCCUAUCUCAGUUCGGAUUGAGGUCUGCAACCCGACCUCAUGAAGCUGGAAUCGCUAGUAAUCGGAUAUCAGCCAUGAUCCGGUGAAUACGUUCCCGGGCCU
Molecule: ribosomal RNA, 851 nt
Filed under: uncultured bacterium
Lineage: Bacteria
Description: SSU rRNA
Rfam family: Bacterial small subunit ribosomal RNA
Source: RNAcentral